RNAcentral lists this transfer RNA (72 nucleotides) under Lachnospira pectinoschiza. Its description in RNAcentral is "tRNA-Cys(gca)". It matches the Rfam family "tRNA". Rfam says of the family: Transfer RNA (tRNA) molecules are approximately 80 nucleotides in length. Their secondary structure includes four short double-helical elements and three loops (D, anti-codon, and T loops). Further hydrogen bonds mediate the characteristic L-shaped molecular structure. tRNAs have two regions of fundamental functional importance: the anti-codon, which is responsible for specific mRNA codon recognition, and the 3' end, to which the tRNAs corresponding amino acid is attached (by aminoacyl-tRNA synthetases). tRNAs cope with the degeneracy of the genetic code in two manners: having more than one tRNA (with a specific anti-codon) for a particular amino acid; and 'wobble' base-pairing, i.e. permitting non-standard base-pairing at the 3rd anti-codon position. The record is from RNAcentral. RNAcentral also lists the same sequence under 1 other name. Lineage: Bacteria; Bacillati; Bacillota; Clostridia; Lachnospirales; Lachnospiraceae.
GGCGACAUAGCCAAGUGGUAAGGCGUGGGUCUGCAACACCCUGAUCACCAGUUCGAAUCUGGUUGUCGCCUC